AGGUGAAAGCUUACAUCUCUUCGGAGCAUUUUACGAGGUGCUGCAUGGUUGUCGUCAGCUCGUGCCGUGAGGUGUCGGGUUAAGUCCCAUAACGAGCGCUAACCCCUACCUUUAGUUGCCAUCAGGUUAAGCUGGGGACUCUAAAGGAACUGCCUACGCAAGUAGUGAGGAAGGCGGGGAUGACGUCAAAUCAGCACGGCCCUUACGUCCAGGGCUACACACGUGCUACAAUGGCCGAUACAGAGGGCAGCUACCUGGUGACAGGAUGCAAAAUCUACCCAAAGUCGGUCUCAGUUCGGAUCGGAGUCUGCAACCCGACUCCGUGAAGUUGGAUUCGCUAGUAAUCGCGCAUCAGCCAUGGCGCGGUGAAUACGUUCCCGGGCCUU
Molecule: ribosomal RNA, 386 nt
Filed under: uncultured Sphingobacteriales bacterium
Lineage: Bacteria; Pseudomonadati; Bacteroidota; Sphingobacteriia; Sphingobacteriales
Description: bacterial SSU rRNA
Rfam family: Bacterial small subunit ribosomal RNA
Source: RNAcentral